AUGCUGAAAGUGUGUGGGUAUUUGUGUGUGCAUCACAUGUGUGCACUAGAUGCCAAUAUGAAAUACAUUAUUAUUAUUAUUUUGAGACAGGGUCUCUCUUUGUUACCCAGGCUGGAGUGCAGUGGUGUGAACAUGGUUUACUGCAGCCUCAAACUCCUGGGAUCAAGUGAUUCUCCUGCCUCAGCCUCCCAUAUUACAUAUGUGAGCCAUCGUACUCAACCUGAAAUAUAUUCUUACCAUCGGUCACGAACAUGCGUAGUUAACCCAGACCCUGAUACCAUCCUGGACCAGACAGAAGCAGCGUCCUUCUCCUGGAGGAGCUUGGAGCCACAGCAAGAGCCAGGCAUUACACCCCGGUAAGCAUGCAGAGUUCUGAAGAACAAGCUCGCAGCCUCACUCACUCCAGGCUUUUCCUCUGGACCUGAGCUCUGAUACCCGCUGAAUUGUCAGAAUCAGAGCAAAUCUGGAGGUCAAAAAGCAAGGCCAGCGAAGCCGGGAUCCCUAGGGUAAUUAGGCCCACCUUGCCCACAGGUGCUACACAGGUGGUCUCAGCUCCCAGCGAUGACCCAGGAGAAGCCCACGGGAGCCCUCAGCUGCAACCAAUCCUCCAGGCUGCUGGCCUGCCUGCCUUCCUGAAAUAGUCCAGAUUUCACUUAUUAAACAUAUUAAUCUGAAGUUAACAAUUUGUGCUUGUUUCACUAAAUGGCUUGAAGAGAAGAAUGCAGGGGAAAAGAAUUUGAUUUGAUGGGAAGGCUUAACCCGGAUGGACUAAGCGGCCUUCAUAUUCUGACUUUAAAACAACUGGAAAUCGAGGGACUAUUCACAGAAGUGGAGAGUCAGAGGGUAAACCUAACUGGAGUUAAGGAAGCACAAACAAAACCCAUCCCCUUCUCGGCCCCAACCUGCCAUGUGACUCUAAGGACAUUGCUUACUGCAGUGACAGCAUUUUAAACAGCUGCCCAGAGGGGUUUUAAAUAGACUUGAUGUAAUUCAAGGAUUUAUAGAGCAUAGGUUACCAAAAUAUUAAAGUUCUGAAAUAUCCCUAAACCAAGACCACGGCCCUAGCAUUACCCACUCUGAACCGAAUCAUUCUCUGCCGUUGGAGUGUGGUGCAUGUGGCUUCUUCAGAAAACUGUGGCUGCUCUAAAUGAGUGGCCAGAAAAAGAUAUACAGCCUCUGAUGAAUAGAUGCGACCUUCCAUGUAAAAACACACUCUCCCGGUCUUCGGCAACUCAGUCCAUGGAAAGCACUAAUCUUCAGAAAAUAAACCAGACAGUUAUUUUUUAAUUGCUUAUCAAAUCUAAGUAUUCAAGGAAAUUACAGUGGGGUGGGGUAGAGGUGGGAAUACACAAAAUCAUGAAUCUGGGUAACGAAGUGCCCCUGGACCUCUACUCUGUAAAAUAAAC
RNAcentral lists this long non-coding RNA (1406 nucleotides) under Macaca mulatta (Rhesus monkey). Its description in RNAcentral is "lncRNA (ENSMMUG00000056144.1)". The record is from RNAcentral. Lineage: Eukaryota; Metazoa; Chordata; Mammalia; Primates; Cercopithecidae.